AUUGGACUUCAUGCACUGGGUUCUCACAACAGAAGCAGCAAAAUGUGGAAAAACACUUGGAUUUUCUUAAACCCUUCCUUUUGGUGCUCUAAGAAUCAGCAAUAUGUACAUUCUACAGCAUGAUUGUCUCAUAUACUACGACUCUACUCCGUGUGAAUAUACGGGCACUAUUUUGGCAGCUAAAAAGGCCAUAGUGAUCUUCCCUCUGUUUCCAGGCAUCUUGUUAAUGGACGGGAGAUAGGAAUGGAAGAAACAGAAUGAAAAAAGAGAAAUAAGAUAAGGAAGAAAAACCGGAGAGUCAGUCUGCUGGUUGCUGAACUCAGAGGGCUGAGUUCAGAUGCUGGAGGAAGAAUCAACUCAGAAAUAGAGGUCAGGAAGAGAAAAAGAGAGUAUUAAAAGUUGGUAAAGAGAUUUUUUUGUGGAAGAAAAGAUAAAUUUGAGACCCUGAUACAACUUUCUUCUGGAGGAAGAAAGAUAUGCCUCAGGAAAGAGAGAAUGAUAAAGCCUACAAAAAGUCUGUCGCAACAAAGGGGAAGACUUGGGCAGACGUUAAUGUGGGGGGAAAAGAAAAGCAAUCCAGAAACCAGGGUGAGCAUCUCUAUUACAGAUUUAGUUCCCCUCCUAGCAGAAUUGUGGAUUUUCUGUAGCAUUAACAUUUUGGGAAACACUAUGGAAGAGGAGGGAAAAGCUACAGAAGGAAAGCUUACAGGAAGAUUAUUCAUCCUCCUUGAGAAAAGGAGUCUUGCAUAGUUUGGAUGCAUUCUUGACCUGGGGUCCAUGCACGAUGCCAGGGUUCCUCUCUGGUCACACAGCCCUGGCUGCCAGUCUCCACAUCCUCUGAGGACCUGGCUGCAGGUUGCUCUGCCCUCUAUUCCUGAAGUCAAAAGUCUGAUGACAAUGAAAACUCCUUAGGACACGUCCGAGUCGUUUAGUGCCAGGAACUGGUUACUGGAAGGAGCAGGUGUGCAGACAGCUCACCUAAUCCAAUUGUACUGCUGACGUCCGCAGUGGUAAUCCAUCCAGAGAGCCGCUUCCCAGACUGCGGCUGUGACAGCCUGCCUGGCUGAGACACGUGCGUACAGGGAAUCCCCAGGGACAAACCCGUGCUUUUGAAUUCCCUCCAACUUUCACUCGCAUAAAUGAGAGCACAUAUGUCUCCUUAAUUCACAAGAAAAUCUGAUUUUGAAAUUGCCAUGGCACCUGGCUCUCUAGCAAAUAUGCACAUUAUAGAUGAAGUAGCAUGGGCAUGCAGGACAGAAAGGAGGGUCCUUAGAAGUGGAAUGCAAACCCAAAUCUCCCUAUUCUGCAGUAAGCACUGUCUUCAUGUAACAUUGGCAGCUCAGAGGGAGCUCCUUUCUGCAGUUAUAGCUGCAGUGUGUAAUUCAUAAAUCUACCACUCAAACAUGGCUUGCUUCAGUGUUAGGUAGGCUUCUUGGUUUGGCUGGUUGAAGUUUUUUCCAAGGCAAAAGAAGGAACUGCCAAAACAGAGCAAAGCAUUUCAGCUAAUGGAGUACACUUGCAGAACAACAGGGGAAAUAUUCUUGCAUCCUUCCUGAUGUAGCACCGCAUCCCCAUCCAUCUUAUUCUAGGGAUGAGAACUUCACCAUGAGGCUGGUCAAAGGGCUUGUCCACCUGCUAAUGGGCUUUCUUGGCUCCAGACAGAGGUGAACCAUUUUUUAUCAUUUAUACAAUAGUAUCGUUAUGUUCUUAUUAACCCGAAGUCCUUACUGGUGACUUGAAUACCAUACUUUUGUCUCGAGAAAUUUUGCUUUUCUCUGAAAGGGGCUGCUUUGUGCAGUGGAGGUUUAAUUCUCUAUGUGUGUUAGCACAGAACAAAGUGAACGUGGUAGAUCAGAAAAUUUAGUCUGUGUCUUAAUGUCUUUUUCUCAUCCCCUCCCACCUGGACAGAUUGCUUAUCAUUUUAGCUAUUUUCACCUCCACUUCUCAUUAUCACUUGCUGUCACUAGCCAAUUUGAAGCCUUCUUCAGAAAAUCCUGUUCACUCUCCCACGCCAACCUUGCUGCAAGCUGGACGGGGAACAUCUCCUGGAGUUGAGCAUCCAGAAAAGAACGUUACAUUUGGCAAGGGAAAUGCCCAUGUCCACACCCUUGCCUCAUCCAUCACCUUCUGUAAUCAUGUUCUGCCACAUCACAAGAAAAGCUGACCUCUUUGAGUCAACCACAUUUGGAAACUGACCUUUACUCUGCUAGUUGCUGCAUUUUGCACAACUUGUUGUUAAUCUGCUGCAGAAUAAACCACGUCCUCCUGUUCCCACUUACACAUUUGUACAUGUUUGUUCUUUCUGCUUG
Long non-coding RNA from Gallus gallus (chicken), 2309 nucleotides. Lineage: Eukaryota; Metazoa; Chordata; Aves; Galliformes; Phasianidae. The record is from Ensembl.